UGGGGAAUAUUGCACAAUGGGCGCAAGCCUGAUGCAGCCAUGCCGCGUGUAUGAAGAAGGCCUUCGGGUUGUAAAGUACUUUCAGCGAGGAGGAAGGCGGUAAGGUUAAUAACCUUAUCGAUUGACGUUACUCGCAGAAGAAGCACCGGCUAACUCCGUGCCAGCAGCCGCGGUAAUACGGAGGGUGCAAGCGUUAAUCGGAAUUACUGGGCGUAAAGCGCACGCAGGCGGUCUGUCAAGUCGGAUGUGAAAUCCCCGGGCUCAACCUGGGAACUGCAUUCGAAACUGGCAGGCUAGAGUCUUGUAGAGGGGGGUAGAAUUCCAGGUGUAGCGGUGAAAUGCGUAGAGAUCUGGAGGAAUACCGGUGGCGAAGGCGGCCCCCUGGACAAAGACUGCCACUCAGGUGCUAAAGCGUGGGGAGCAUCCA
Molecule: ribosomal RNA, 427 nt
Filed under: uncultured bacterium
Lineage: Bacteria
Description: partial 16S ribosomal RNA
Rfam family: Bacterial small subunit ribosomal RNA
Source: RNAcentral